UACGUAGGGGGCAAGCGUUGUCCGGAAUCAUUGGGCGUAAAGCGCGUGUAGGCGGCUCGAUAAGUCUGCUGUGAAAGUCCAGGGCUCAACCCUGGGAUGCCGGUGGAUACUGUCGAGCUCGAGUCCGGAAGAGGCGAGUGGAAUCCUGGUGUAGCGGUGAAAUGCGCAGAUAUCAGGAGGAACACCAAUGGCGAAGGCAGCUCGCUGGGACGUGACUGACGCUGAGACGCGAAAGCGUGGGGAGCAAACAGG
Molecule: ribosomal RNA, 252 nt
Filed under: uncultured bacterium
Lineage: Bacteria
Description: partial 16S ribosomal RNA
Rfam family: Bacterial small subunit ribosomal RNA
Source: RNAcentral